CCUACGGGAGGCAGCAGUGGGGAAUAUUGGACAAUGGGGGGAACCCUGAUCCAGCCAUGCCGCGUGUGUGAUGAAGGCCCUCGGGUUGUAAAGCACUUUCAGUGAGGAAGAACGCCUGGUGGUUAAUACCCAUCAGGAAAGACAUCACUCACAGAAGAAGCACCGGCUAACUCCGUGCCAGCAGCCGCGGUAAUACGGAGGGUGCGAGCGUUAAUCGGAAUUACUGGGCGUAAAGCGCGCGUAGGUGGCUUGAUAAGCCGGUUGUGAAAGCCCCGGGCUCAACCUGGGAACGGCAUCCGGAACUGUCAAGCUAGAGUGCAGGAGAGGAAGGUAGAAUUCCCGGUGUAGCGGUGAAAUGCGUAGAGAUCGGGAGGAAUACCAGUGGCGAAGGCGGCCUUCUGGACUGACACUGACACUGAGGUGCGAAAGCGUGGGUAGCAAACAGGAUUAGAUACCCGUGUAGUC
This 465-nucleotide ribosomal RNA is filed under the name Vreelandella stevensii. RNAcentral's name for it is "partial 16S ribosomal RNA". It matches the Rfam family "Bacterial small subunit ribosomal RNA", at positions 338 to 795 of the family's 1533-position model. The record is from RNAcentral. Lineage: Bacteria; Pseudomonadati; Pseudomonadota; Gammaproteobacteria; Oceanospirillales; Halomonadaceae.